UCUUAAUUUAUAAAAGUCCAUCUGAGCACUUGCCACUAAGCAAACUGAAUAUAUAAACUGACUGACAUAAGUACUUAUCAAAAGGAUCUGAUGAGUAUUAAGUAACUUCCGAGGCAAGAUCGUCGGAUAACUGAACUUUCUCCAAGUCCUGAGUUUCAGUCGAAUGUUUGCUGAGUUUGGAUGUUGGGAUAUUAUUCGAGGAUCAAUUGUCGUGUGCAAGGUAGUCGACAUCAAACAUUUUUUACCGCCGUUUGGCAGGCGGUAUCAUUGCUGGCGGAAGAUUAUUCCCCGUACAUGCGCUGUUGCUUCGGUAUACUGGCAUGAUUAUAUGAUGAUACAGUUUGUCUUUGAGUUUCCAUGUAACGUGGACCUAAAAACUAUAUAGUUUGGCAAAAUAAUCAAGACAACCACACAUUAAUAACAAAGGAUGUAGGAACAAAAAGACCUACAAGACAAACCAGUAAAGCCAGACAAAAAAAAACCAACAUCCAAUACACACAUUAUAAAAACCCUUAAAACCAAACAAACUAGAAGACAAUACUAGUAAUCAGCAACAAACUAAACUGUAGCUUGGGAUCCCGCUCGCUUGCCGACUCUGAGAGGAGGUUGGGCCAGGAUGCCAGGCUAGUAAAACUGGAACUAGCUAUAUACAUGUAUCAUGUAGAUAGAACAUCCGGUCGUCUAUAGGCAGUAGAUAAAAUAUCAACGAAAAAACAAAAAUACAAGAUAUAAGCGAAAAAUCCACAGUAAUGUCAUAAAAAGUUUUUCUGACCACAAUAUAUUAACUAUUUGUCCGAAAACGGACAGCCAGAACAAUAUAUUAACUAUGUGUUUGAAAACCGACAGACAGAUCAUCAAAUUGAUGAUCUCAUAUAAUAAGACUGUCAAUAAAAGGACUGACUCAAGGACUGAUGUUUAUAUUGACACUUAUAGACGAAUUUUUCGGAUCAAAAUAAAACAAUCAUCACUGUCUCCGAACGUGUAUUUCUACGAUGUCAUACCAUAACCAAAGUACAUAUAUAGUGAGAGGCUGUCCAGCGUCGAGUGACUUUGUUAGUAUUUAUAUAUGCUAUAUAAUCAAGGUUUCAACAACGACUGAAUUACAUGAAGGUUGUUACUGGACAUAAAAUAGUCCCUACUUUGUAUUGUCUUCAUUAUUUACACAACAAACCUUACCUCCGUUUUAUAUCUGCAUUCAAGAAAUGUACAAACAUUCUUGAUUUUCUUUCUGUCUAGUGUUCUCACAACAGAUAAUAAGCUGGUUAUCAGAU
Mytilus californianus (California mussel) is the source of this 1271-nucleotide long non-coding RNA. RefSeq lists it as uncharacterized. The record is from RefSeq and is a predicted model, not a curated record. The transcript is spliced from 3 exons. NCBI's taxonomy places the organism in Eukaryota, Metazoa, Mollusca, Bivalvia, Mytilida, Mytilidae.